UUUUAUGGAGAGUUUGAUCCUGGCUCAGGACGAACGCUGGCGGCGUGCCUAAUACAUGCAAGUCGAGCGGAAAUUUUAUUGGUGCUUGCACCUUUAAAAUUUUAGCGGCGGACGGGUGAGUAACACGUGGGUAACCUACCUUAUAGAUUGGGAUAACUCCGGGAAACCGGGGCUAAUACCGAAUAAUACUUUUUAACACAUGUUUGAAAGUUGAAAGACGGUUUCGGCUGUCACUAUAAGAUGGACCCGCGGCGCAUUAGCUAG
Molecule: ribosomal RNA, 264 nt
Filed under: Solibacillus silvestris
Lineage: Bacteria; Bacillati; Bacillota; Bacilli; Caryophanales; Caryophanaceae
Description: partial 16S ribosomal RNA
Rfam family: Bacterial small subunit ribosomal RNA
Source: RNAcentral